GUGGCAAGCGUUGUCCGGAAUUAUUGGGCGUAAAGCGCGCGCAGGCGGUCCUUUAAGUCUGAUGUGAAAGCCCACGGCUCAACCGUGGAGGGUCAUUGGAAACUGGGGGACUUGAGUACAGGAGAGGAAAGUGGAAUUCCAUGUGUAGCGGUGAAAUGCGUAGAGAUGUGGAGGAACACCAGUGGCGAAGGCGACUUUCUGGUCUGUAACUGACGCUGAGGCGCGAAAGCGUGGGGAGCAAACAGGAUUAGAUACCCUGGUAGUCCACGCCGUAAACGAUGAGUGCUAAGUGUCAGGGGGUUUCCGCCCCUUAGUGCUGCASUAACGCAUUAAGCACUCCGCCUGGGGAGUACGGCCGCAAGGCUG
This 366-nucleotide ribosomal RNA is filed under the name uncultured bacterium. RNAcentral describes it as "bacterial SSU rRNA". It matches the Rfam family "Bacterial small subunit ribosomal RNA", at positions 531 to 896 of the family's 1533-position model. The record is from RNAcentral.